CGGCCGGCACAUUACGGUUUUCCUAGGACCUCAGGCAACAGCCUGUAUCCUUGGAAGUCUUUGGUGGUUGGCACCAAACUGCAGCCGGCAACAAUCUGUUUAUUUAUUUUCUUUUCUGAGAAGGAAUAUUCUGGCGGGACCAGAUGGAAAGAACUUCUAUGGGCUGUCUUCUGAAUGGCUCUCAGAACAAGGCUUAAAAUCAGAACACCCUUCCUGUCUUGACUGGUUCCUGGGAACUUCCUCGCCUGCAUGCUGCUUCUGUAGAUAGAUGAAAAUACUUUACGUCUUCCUUGGGAUAAUGCUAACCAUAUCUGAAGGAGGAUAAUAGGGCAGUCCUGAUGGUGUGGUGACAACUUUGAGACAGACUCCUACAAUCAAGCCAAUCCUUGGCAAUUCUUCACUGGAAACUCCUUGGACACCUGUCAAGUUACUGCCUUCAUUAAUGUCUUAAUAAAACUUCAGAAUCAAAGAAUAACUCAAAAAUAAGAAUAAUUUCAGAAAUCAGGCCAAAACAAGCUCUAAAUUAAAGUGUGUUUGAUAUGCCACAAAUAAGAACACAAAAAGGAUUGAUUAGGGGAAUAGGAAGGGAUAGUAAGCCUCAAGAGAUAUGAGAUGGAGUGGGAAAGGCCUCCACAUUUUGCAAUCUCUAGUCACAGUGAAGUUUUGGAAUUUGGAAGAUUUGUGUUGAGUUGAUGUUUAACCUCUAGGCUACCUGAGACAUUUUGGCUACACUUAGAUUUGGAACAUUUUUGGAAAAGUAUUAAAAUUUUUUUGAGAGACUCCUUCCUUGAAAUGAUUAGAAUCUGGGAUAUUGCUGAAAUUACAUUUAUAUUGAACUGUACUAAUGAUAGCUGAAAUGGAGCAUGACAAUGCUGAAACUCUCAACAAGGUCCAGUAAGCUGU
This is a long non-coding RNA of Choloepus didactylus (southern two-toed sloth), 903 nucleotides long. RefSeq lists it as uncharacterized. Lineage: Eukaryota; Metazoa; Chordata; Mammalia; Pilosa; Megalonychidae. The record is from RefSeq and is a predicted model, not a curated record. The transcript is spliced from 3 exons.